Manacus vitellinus (golden-collared manakin) is the source of this 349-nucleotide long non-coding RNA. RefSeq lists it as uncharacterized. The transcript has 3 exons. NCBI's taxonomy places the organism in Eukaryota, Metazoa, Chordata, Aves, Passeriformes, Pipridae. The record is from RefSeq and is a predicted model, not a curated record.
CUGUGUCCGUCAUCGCUGCCAUCAUCAUCAUCAUCGGCCUCGUGGCAGUCGGUGUCUGGAAGCUCCGAUCCGGGAAGAGGGAGGGGAAUGGAUACGACCCCGCGCCCACCACAGGAAUCACGGUCUGAGCGAUCCUGGAGCUGGAUCCGCCCCUUCCCUCUCCCUGCGGAAAGGCAGGAGCUGCUGGCAGAGCUCAUCCCGCUGCUCCCACCCACCCCGGUCCCCCUGCGGCUCUUCCCGAUGGAUCAACUUCCUGCUUUUUCCUGUGUGAAACCCAGGACCACAAUUAUUCCUGAGGCUUUAAUUUGGGUGUGAAAAUCUCCUGCUUUGGGCAAUAAAUCCUGGCUCC